AUGUCCAUGGCUCAUCAGGCGGCGGCGGGCGGCAGCGACACGAGGCUGCGAACGUGUUCGUGGAUGUCCUGGCGUGGAAGACGAGCAAGGAGGGUGUGCGCGGCCACUUCGAGCGCUUCGGCGAGAUCCGCGAGGCCGUCAUCAUCGCCGACAAGGGCACCAGCAGAUCCAAUGGCGGCGGAUUCGUUACGUUCUGGGAGGCUGAGGCGCCAUUGGGGUUUGCUUGGGAACGUACAGUUAGGCCAACAUCAGAAGAUUCGUAGCCUUUUUGAGGAGAUGAAGGUGGAGAAUAUUAAGCCGGAUAACCUCACAUGCUGCCUUCUAAUGAUCAGCCGUGCGGCAUUGAACAAGAUAGAUGUUGGAGAAGUUUUAAAAGAAAUGCAAGAAAAUGAUGUAGUUCCAGGGUGGUCUGCAUAUAGCAUGGCUUCUAUCUACCUGAGUGCUGGUUUGGUUUAA
Molecule: ribosomal RNA, 456 nt
Filed under: Triticum aestivum (bread wheat)
Lineage: Eukaryota; Viridiplantae; Streptophyta; Magnoliopsida; Poales; Poaceae
Description: partial small subunit ribosomal RNA
Source: RNAcentral